ACGGUGAAGAGGAGCUUGCUCCUCGGAACAGUGGCGGACGGGUGAGUAACACGUGAGCAACCUGGCUCUAAGAGGGGGACAACAGUUGGAAACGACUGCUAAUACCGCAUAACGUAUCGGGAUGGCAUCUUCCUGAUACCAAAGAUUUUAUCGCUUAGAGAUGGGCUCGCGUCUGAUUAGAUAGUUGGCGGGGUAACGGCCCACCAAGUCGACGAUCAGUAGCCGGACUGAGAGGUUGAACGGCCACAUUGGGACUGAGACACGGCCCAGACUCCUACGGGAGGCAGCAGUGGGGGAUAUUGGACAAUGGGGGCAACCCUGAUCCAGCGACGCCGCGUGAGGGAAGAAGGUUUUCGGAUUGUAAACCUCUGUUGACGGAGAAAAAAAUGAUGGUAUCCGUUUAGAAAGCCACGGCUAACUACGCGCCAGCAGCCGCGGUAAUACGUAGGUGGCAAGCGUUGUCCGGAAUUACUGGGUGUAAAGGGAGUGUAGGCGGGAUAUCAAGUCAGAAGUGAAAAUUACGGGCUCAACUCGUAACCUGCUUUUGAAACUGACAUUCUUGAGUGAAGUAGAGGCAAGCGGAAUUCCUAGUGUAGCGGUGAAAUGCGUAGAUAUUAGGAGGAACACCAGUGG
Molecule: ribosomal RNA, 633 nt
Filed under: uncultured bacterium
Lineage: Bacteria
Description: bacterial SSU rRNA
Rfam family: Bacterial small subunit ribosomal RNA
Source: RNAcentral